AAAACACUGGAGCUCUGGUAAAUGACAUGGCUCCAUGGAUUCCUUCCUCUAUGUGGUCAUGAGUAACUGGAACCCCAACAUUUCUAAGCCGUGUGACAUACAUGAGACCAUCAUCUCUUAUAAGAUAAAAUAAGCUACUUGUGAAGCCGAGGUGGUUAUCUAGUCCUGAGAAAGCCAAGUCUAUGUUGAGAAUGCAAGGGCUGUGGAAAAUAGAAAUACCCGUUUUCAAGAAGUCAAAAGACCUUGGACAUCUAGACAUCUAAAGAAGAAGGGAAAACUUUCCAGAAAAAAUUACCAAGCAAAGAAAAAUUUGACCUAAUGGUACCAAUAUUCCCUCCUACCUU
Peromyscus eremicus (cactus mouse) is the source of this 344-nucleotide long non-coding RNA. RefSeq lists it as uncharacterized. The record is from RefSeq and is a predicted model, not a curated record. Lineage: Eukaryota; Metazoa; Chordata; Mammalia; Rodentia; Cricetidae. The transcript has 3 exons.